UACAGAGGGUGCGAGCGUUAAUCGGAAUUACUGGGCGUAAAGCGCACGUAGGUGGCGACGUAAGUCGGGUGUGAAAGCCCCGGGCUCAACCUGGGAAGUGCAUUCGAGACUGCAUUGCUGGAGUACGGAAGAGGAGGGCGGAAUUCCCGGUGUAGCGGUGAAAUGCGUAGAUAUCGGGAGGGACAUCAGUGGCGAAGGCGGCCCUCUGGUCCAGUACUGACACUCAAGUGCGAAAGCGUGGGGAGCAUACAGG
Molecule: ribosomal RNA, 253 nt
Filed under: uncultured bacterium
Lineage: Bacteria
Description: partial 16S ribosomal RNA
Rfam family: Bacterial small subunit ribosomal RNA
Source: RNAcentral